This is a long non-coding RNA of Schistocerca piceifrons (Central American locust), 713 nucleotides long. RefSeq lists it as uncharacterized. The transcript is spliced from 4 exons. The record is from RefSeq and is a predicted model, not a curated record. Lineage: Eukaryota; Metazoa; Arthropoda; Insecta; Orthoptera; Acrididae.
GGUGGCGCUUCCUCCGUAUUGGCGUGACUGACAUCUGGCCAACUGCCUCGCGGCGCGCGGGUCUCACCAACAAGUUGUACGGUCCAGAGGCAUGUAAGAAUACGAUGUGCCAACCAGCUCCGUGACCCCUCGGAAUUCGUAUGCUAGAAUGCUGUGGUUGUCACUGUAGGCGAUGUCUAAGGGGUUAACACGGACCUUGAAAUUUACUCUCGUCAGAGGAGAGGUGCUACUCGCAAAGCUGACCACUAUGUGAGAGACUCGCAGAGCAGUUCUACAGGCUACCAGUUCCCUGAUAUUCGCCCUCACCCCUAGACCUGCCGGAUUUUCGAACACCAGAGUACAGUCAUCCGCUGAUGCCAGAUGAGGGCGCCGGGUCCCAAUGGAUGAGGAGUCCAUUCUGGUAGGCGCCUGCGUCGCGGUCGUCACCCUCACCGUCGUGGUGCUGGUCGCCUGCUACGCCCGGGUGCUGACCCAGCUCUGCUGCACCAACAGCAGGAUCAUCCCAUAGGUACAGCAAGCCUCUAGCCUCACCGUCUCCAAAUGUUGGGAGUGUGCUGAGCUGCUGUCCACCAGCAUGUUAACCGAAGGCCUGGGAGCGGCUGCGGUGCUGGCCCUGGCUUUGGGCCUCCUUUUGGUGUCGGCGCUGGUAGUGUGCUACGCCUGCGUUCUGCGCCAGCUGUGCUGCCGGGCCGCCGCUGAUGGCAAGCUGUGGC